ACGAAGGGGGCUAGCGUUGCUCGGAAUUACUGGGCGUAAAGCGCACGUAGGCGGUCUUUUAAGUCGGGGGUGAAAUCCUGGAGCUCAACUCCAGAACUGCCUUCGAUACUGGAAGACUUGAGUCCGGGAGAGGAUGGUGGAACUCCCAGUGUAGAGGUGAAAUUCGUAGAUAUUGGGAAGAACACCCGUGGCGAAGGCGGCCAUCUGGACCGGUACUGACGCUAAGGCGCGACAGCGUGGGGAGCAAACAGGA
RNAcentral lists this ribosomal RNA (253 nucleotides) under uncultured prokaryote. RNAcentral's name for it is "partial 16S ribosomal RNA". It matches the Rfam family "Bacterial small subunit ribosomal RNA", at positions 525 to 777 of the family's 1533-position model. The record is from RNAcentral.